Molecule: long non-coding RNA, 991 nt
Organism: Sitophilus oryzae (rice weevil)
Lineage: Eukaryota; Metazoa; Arthropoda; Insecta; Coleoptera; Curculionidae
Exons: 4
Source: RefSeq, a predicted model, not a curated record
AAUAUAAUUCAAUUUACUGAACCUGUAAAAUGUUUUUAAAAGAAAUAUUAAUUCUCUGUCUUGCUUUGGGUAGUAUCAAAUCAGCAGUAUUUGAUGAUAAUGGCUCCAAAUCAUAUUUCGCUAGAUUUAUACCUAUAGGCAACGAUACUAGAAUUGUAGGUGGAGAUCCUGUAUAUAUUUCGUCGUAUAGGUAUCAAGGUUCCCUCUAACGUUGGCAUAGGCAUAUCUGCGGAGUAGCUUUGCUGUCAAGUGUAUGGGUUUUGACAGCUGCUCAUUGUACACAAUCGCUUACCGUUCCUCCACCACGAUAUGCUUUUACAGUGUGAUUUGGUUCAACGUUUAUGCAGAAUGAAGGUUUCGUUUUUCCAAUUGCCGAAAUCAUAGACCAUCCUGACUAUAGUGCAUUUAUGUUCAAUCUUGAUGCAAUCAAGUAACAUUUGGUGACACUAUUGGACCCAUUCCAUUACCAACAAGAGAUCAGCAAUUGAUACCCGGUUCCGUCUGCACUGUAACUGGCUGGGGCACUUUAACAUCUGGUGGCGUCACUCCAUUUGGAUUGCAAAUGGUUCAGGUACCCCUAAUAAGCAAUGAAAGCUGUGAUCAGUAUUAUACAAAUCUUAUAGGAAGUAAGUAAAAUCAUCUCAUCAUCAUUAUAUUCAUUUUCAGCUUCAUUCAACCGUUGAUUGCCCCUUGAUUUAUUCUUCCGUUGUUCAUUGAAAUAUUUUACCCAAGAAGGUCUUAACUUCCGCUCUAUAUAUUAGUAAAACCCUUUGACUACAUAACCCCUACGGUAAAACCCUAAUAUACGAGAUGGCAAUAUUUACAUCGAUACGGGAAUUUAUAAAAGUGUUAUUUACAGAUAGUAGGUAACAAUCCAAACAUGAAAUAAUCUAAUAUAACCCUAACCUUCUUACACUAAUAAACUAAUAACUUAUUUUGCCAGGUAGUCUAAUAACAGCCAAUAUGAUGUGUGCCGGCGGUCUAAAGGAAG